GUGUGACACGUUCCAGCGCGGGAUCACGCGCCCGCGCUGCAGGUCCCGUUUGUUGCCCACGAUGAUGAUGGGCGUCUCCGAGGUGCCGAUCACCCUGCGGGGUGGGAGCGGGAGGAGAUUUCAGAAUGACACAGCCUGGUCUCCCAACCCCUGGACUUCAAGAAGGGCAGGCUGUACCUGGUCAAUACUGCUACUACUACCCUACCUCUGUUCCGGGCACAGUGCUCAGUCCUCGGGGUGCCUUAUAUUCUCUAACGGGAACAACUGAUCUAAAAGGGCAUCCAGGAGAGUCUAAAACUCAGGAUCAACCAGGAAGAGAAAGGACAACAACCCAACAGAAAAGAUGGACAGAGAACUUAAGAAUUGUGAGAAAAAGAAAUGCAAAAGCUCUUAUGCCUAUGAAAAGAUGCUCAGCUUCAACCAUCAUCAGAGACACAAACCAAAACCACACCGAGACUAUCACAUCUCAUCUAUCAGACUGUCAGAACCCCCCAAAUUGGACACUAGAGUCUGAUGGCCAGGCUUCAGGGAAAACAGCGCUCACAUACACUGCUCUCACAACAACAGAAAUAUGCAACUUUCCUUCCAAAUUCAGCUGCGUUUAUCCUUUGACCUAGCAACGCCGUUUCUGGGGCUCGAUUCCACAGAUACGCCUCCCCCUGAGCAGAGAGACCAUGGACCAGGCUAUUGGUGCGGCAGACUGGAAGUUGGACACACAAGAAGGGAUGCCAUGGUCCCUCUCUCCAGGGGGGUGUGGCACAACCGUGCUACUGACAUUCAGAUACCAACCCUCGGGGAAAAUCUCUAGGUUAUAAUGUAAGGCAAAAAGACCAGGUGGAGAACUUUUUUUUUUUUUUUUUCUGUAAGAAAGGGAGUGGAAGAAGAACACAUUUUCUUAUUUGUUUAAAGAAACUGGAAGUGUGAAUAAAAAGCCAGCGAGGAUGGCCAUUGAGAGUGGGGCAAAAUCAGGGUGAAGAGGGCAGGGCGGGACUGGGAUUUCUCUGGGUGUACCUUUUUGCAGUUGGGACUUUUUUCCUUUUUGUUUUUUUAUACAAAUUUAGACUUUGAAACUAUGUCUUACCUAUUCCAAAACUGGA
Molecule: long non-coding RNA, 1097 nt
Organism: Mustela lutreola (European mink)
Lineage: Eukaryota; Metazoa; Chordata; Mammalia; Carnivora; Mustelidae
Exons: 3
Source: RefSeq, a predicted model, not a curated record